GCCGCAGCUGCUGGUUGUUUUGUAUUCGCCACUCAGUCAGGGUUGCAACAACGCGCGGAUGGAGUGUGCGCAUUAAAGCGCCGAUUACAGCACGUACCCAUAUAGGCCACAAGGGUCUGGACAAAGUGCAGGCGCCUCAUUUCAAUGCUCGAACGCCCUACAGAAAACAUUCACCAACCACAACCACAACGGGAAGAAAUAAAAAAGGAAACAUAUUCAAGAGGCGAACUAUACUGCAAUACAUAGCGAGCGAACGGUGAAGACUCGGACUUUUUGACUUCAUCAGCGAGCGGAUCGACGGCGGUCGCUGGCGUGGAGCAGAAAUGCAGGACCACUGCCGAAGGCUCCCAAGGCCCUGUCUAGCCCUGCCGCUGAUACUGGGCGCCUUCGCUUGCUACCUCAUUGUAAACAAACAGAGCCAGAUAAAGGCCACGUGGUAUUACCGA
Molecule: long non-coding RNA, 446 nt
Filed under: Dermacentor andersoni
Lineage: Eukaryota; Metazoa; Arthropoda; Arachnida; Ixodida; Ixodidae
Description: uncharacterized LOC126533012
Source: RNAcentral